UACGAGGGGGGCGAGCGUUGUUCGGAAUUAUUGGGCGUAAAGGGUGCGUAGGCGGUUUGGUAAGUCUGAUGUGAAAUCUCACAGCUUAACUGUGAAACUGCAUUGGAUACUAUUCGGCUUGAGGUCUGGAGAGGAGACUGGAAUUUACGGUGUAGCGGUGAAAUGCGUAGAUAUCGUAAGGAAGACCAGUGGCGAAGGCGGGUCUCUGGACAGUUCCUGACGCUGAGGCACGAAGGUCAGGGGAGCAAACGGG
Molecule: ribosomal RNA, 253 nt
Filed under: uncultured bacterium
Lineage: Bacteria
Description: partial 16S ribosomal RNA
Rfam family: Bacterial small subunit ribosomal RNA
Source: RNAcentral